Molecule: ribosomal RNA, 484 nt
Filed under: uncultured bacterium
Lineage: Bacteria
Description: partial 16S ribosomal RNA
Rfam family: Bacterial small subunit ribosomal RNA
Source: RNAcentral
AUUGAACGCUGGCGGCAGGCCUAACACAUGCAAGUCGAGCGGAUGAAGGGAGCUUGCUCCUGGAUUCAGCGGCGGACGGGUGAGGAAUGCCUAGGAAUCUGCCUGGCAGUGGGGGAUAACGUCCGGAGACGGGCGCUAAUAACGCAUACGUCCUGAGGGAGAAAGUGGGGGAUCUUCGGACAUUACGCUCUCAGAUGCGCCUAGGUCGGAUUAGCUAGUUGGUGGGGUAAAGGCCUACCAAGGCGACGAUCCGUAACUGGUCUGAGAGGAUGAUCAGUCACACUGGAACUGAGACACGGUCCAGACUCCUACGGGAGGCAGCAGUGGGGAAUAUUGGACAAUGGGCGAAAGCCUGAUCCAGCCAUGCCGCGUGUGUGAAGAAGGUCUUCGGAUUGUAAAGCACUUUAAGUUGGGAGGAAGGGCAGUAAGUUAAUACCUUGCUGUUUUGACGGUACCAACAGAAUAAGCACCGGCUAACUUCGUG